GACGAACGCUGGCGGCGUGCUUAACACAUGCAAGUCGAACGGAAAGGCCCUGCUUUUGUGGGGUGCUCGAGUGGCGAACGGGUGAGUAACACGUGAGUAACCUGCCCUUGACUUUGGGAUAACUUCAGGAAACUGGGGCUAAUACCGGAUAGGAGCUCCUGCUGCAUGGUGGGGGUUGGAAAGUUUCGGCGGUUGGGGAUGGACUCGCGGCUUAUCAGCUUGUUGGUGGGGUAGUGGCUUACCAAGGCUUUGACGGGUAGCCGGCCUGAGAGGGUGACCGGCCACAUUGGGACUGAGAUACGGCCCAGACUCCUACGGGAGGCAGCAGUGGGGAAUAUCGCACAAUGGGCGGAAGCCUGAUGCAGCAACGCCGCGUGCGGGAUGACGGCCUUCGGGUUGUAAACCGCUUUCGCCUGUGACGAAGCGUGAGUGACGGUAAUGGGUUAAGAAGCACCGGCUAACUACGUG
This 468-nucleotide ribosomal RNA is filed under the name uncultured bacterium. RNAcentral's name for it is "partial 16S ribosomal RNA". It matches the Rfam family "Bacterial small subunit ribosomal RNA", at positions 28 to 507 of the family's 1533-position model. The record is from RNAcentral.